GUACCCGCUGAACUUAAGCAUAUCAAUAAGCGCAGGAAAAGAAACCAACAGGGAUUACCUCAGUAACGGCGAGUGAAGCGGUAAUAGCUCAAAUUUGAAAUCUGGCCUCUCGGGGUCCGAGUUGUAAUUUGUAGAGGAUGUUUUGGGUACCGCCCCGGUCUAAAUUUCUUGGAACAGAAUGUCACAGAGGGUGAGAAUCCCGUCUUGGACCGGCGGUAGGGCCUGUGUAAAACUCCUUCGACGAGUCGAGUUGUUUGGGAAUGCAGCUCAAAAUGGGUGGUAAAUUUCAUCUAAAGCUAAAUA
RNAcentral lists this ribosomal RNA (303 nucleotides) under Capronia capucina. Its description in RNAcentral is "partial large subunit ribosomal RNA". It matches the Rfam family "Eukaryotic large subunit ribosomal RNA", at positions 22 to 322 of the family's 3401-position model. Lineage: Eukaryota; Fungi; Ascomycota; Eurotiomycetes; Chaetothyriales; Herpotrichiellaceae. The record is from RNAcentral.